Gossypium arboreum is the source of this 8009-nucleotide RNA transcript. RefSeq lists it as uncharacterized. NCBI's taxonomy places the organism in Eukaryota, Viridiplantae, Streptophyta, Magnoliopsida, Malvales, Malvaceae. The record is from RefSeq and is a predicted model, not a curated record. The transcript has 22 exons.
UGAAAAAUCUUAGUGCCGGGAGGCGCCAAAGUCUUAAGUUAAACGACGCCGUUUCUUUCAUGUCUAUAAAACAUAAAAUGUACCAACGUCUUCUUUAGCGAGUCAUUCGCAAAUGGAAAAACCCUAAAAUCAUAUUUUUCUUUUCCAAUAUCAAUUCUCCAUAGUUUUUUGUUUAAUAUUUUAUCAAUUAAGAAAAAGUAUUAUGAAAAUGGCCAAGAAAGUUGCUUCUACAAGAGAGUUGUUGGAACGAUGGAGAGGCAUCGAAGAAGAGGAAGAAGAAACUGACGAUACUGAUCCUUCUAUGCGACGUCGUCUUCACAAGCGCAAGGAAGAAUGGUUUGCUGAUGCAUUCAGUGUGUUGAUAAGUUUACCAAAGGAAAAUCACAUUUGGUGUGGCUCAUGGGAUAUAAUGGGUCCUCUCUUGGAAACUUUCUACAAUUAUUUUAAAGAUGACCGCAACGAUUCUCCUCUACGGCUUCUAUGGAAGAGGAUCUCUGAGGAAAUGUGCCAUUGCAUUCAAUGUGUUUCUCAGCACCAUCAAGCCCAGGAGAUGUACAGCACGGAGUAUGAGUUGUGUACCAUAGGUCCCCUUCUUGAUGUGUUGCAGAGCCUUGAUGAAGAAAGGGUGACUCAACAUUUGAGAGAGAUCAAUAAAAGAUUGGUGCGGCAGGAGUAUGAUCCUGUAUGUGACAAUGCCGAGGUUGUCAAUCUCAUGUAUGAGGUUUUGACGUUUCCCGCCCUAUUAGAUGAUCAGGCCUUGUUUAUAGAUUUUGAAAAAUUCAUUGAAGCAGUUGAUGAUAUGCAUGAAUUGGCUUUGGCUGGGCAACAGUUUCCGGGUGUUUAUGCAUUGCUUUUUUUCAAUAGAAGAGUGCGGACUGUUGGUCAUCGUUUAGCUAAAUGUAUGGGAAAAAUGAGGAGAGCAAUGGAUUUGGAACCUUUGCAACCUUUGCUUAAAAAGUUCAUUGGCUUUUUGGAGAAUGAAGUAUUGCCUUCACCUUUAGAGACUUCGAGGCCAAGAGCGCAGCUGGACCGCUUACCCAUAUGGCUUGGGAUUACAUCCUUGCUUGAGUUCUUGGAACCUCCAGCUUUUGAAGAGGGAAUACUGGAGCGCUAUCCCAUCUUUCUUGAUAUUGUGCUCAACCAUAUCAGUGGUGAUUCACCUGAAUUUUCCCAUGCUGUUAGUUGCUUGAGAGAACUUUUCAAAAUGCUUGGUUGUAAGCUUUGGCUGAGGGCUACAUUAUCUCCCAGUGUGAUGCGCAACACGUUGUUGGGUCAGUGUUUUCACACUAGAAAUGAGAAGAUGCAUAAAGAUAUUUUUGAUCUUUUCCAGCCAUUUCUGCAGUCACUUGAAGCUUUGCAAGACGGGGAACAUGAAAAGCAACGUAGGCAUUUCCUUUAUUUUCUUCUCCACCAAGUUCCUGUGAGCAGUAACUUCAGUGUUUUAACGAGAAAAACAGCCUGCAAGAUUGCUCUUCUUAUCAUUCAUCGAGGCUACAAGAUGAAUCCACCAUGCCCUCCUUUUGAAUGUGCACAUAUGUGGGGUCCUUCUCUUGUGUCUUCUUUGAAGGAUUCUUCACUCUACAGUUCCCUGCGCCAGCCUGCCUUUGAUCUCAUACAAACAAUUUUAGUGUCUGAUGCUGCUACCUUGAUAACUUCAAUGCUGAAUUGUUGCAUAGCUACAAGUAUUGCUAAAAGCUCUUCUAUUGAGUUAGAUGACGAGGAAGGACAUAAUAAGCUUCCAUUUACUCAGGAUGUUGAAGAUAGCGAUACUGGUUGUUGGAGUGAAUUUAGCACUCAGAGUCAAAUUACUUCUCCGGAGUAUAGAGAAUGGAUGUGUAUUCCUAUGUUGUGGAUUGACGUUCUUGUCGAUAUUGAUCCUUCAGUUCUCCCAAUAUCAUUUUCAAAGGCUGUAUUAUGGGCUCGAUCUCGUUUCCCUAUGAUAGAACCUGAGAAUAGUGCUGAAAUGGCCCUUGAUAUUAGAGGUUGGCUUUCAUCCUCCGCUGCAGAAAUCUUAAGUACAUUUGGAUGGAAGAUACCAACUGGCUCUGAUGAUGGAGGGGGGAAGGAAUCUAAAAACUCAAUGAGGUUGUCAACAAUGUGUCUUCCUUUGAUAAAGACUUUCAUCAGGUUAACUGCACAUUUUUUGAUUCGAAUGGGGCAAGGGGAACUUCGAAAGCAGUGGUCUUGGGAACCAAGGAUGGGUGAAAGCUUGAUCCUCUCACUUGUGGACCCAAAUGAUAAUGUGAGGCAGUUUGGCAAGUGUAUCUUGGAACAAGUUUCAAAUACACGGGGUCUUGGUUGUGGCUUGAAGUUUCUUUGCUCUGACAUUCUUUCUCUAUCUGCUGUUUAUUUGGGCCUGAGGCAUGCCUUGAGACUUGUCCAGUUAGAUUCUGUUUUAUUAAAAUUUCAGAAUUUGCACCACUUUUUCUUUGUUCUAUGCAAAUUACUUAAAGAUGAGGACUUGCCUAAUUCAGAAGUAGCAGAAGAUUCUUCCAAUGCCUCAAAUAUCAUGAAGUACUCUUCUCAGGGUGGAUUUCUUAAGCAGCCACUGUUUGAUGCUUUGCCUGCAAACAUGGGCAGAAAUUACUCCAGUGUUGACCCAAAAUUAAGGGAAAAUUUCUGUUACUCAUUGUCUGAGAUUGUGUGGCCAGCCUUAUGCAAGUGCUUGGUAGAAGGGAAGGCAUUCGUUAAUUACAGUCUUUGCCAGAUGACUUGUGUUCGUGUGCUUGAGAUCCUCCCUGUUCUAUUUGGAAGACUCAGUCCGUCACUUGUUAGUUUGUGUGGAGAUUCUAAAGUAGCAUUAGGGAAUUUAGUGGAUUUCAAAUGGCUUCAUGAUCUUAUGGACUGGGGAAAGUCUCAACUUAAGGUCAUUGUUGUCUAUUGGAAAAAGGCUGUAAUAUCUUUGCUGAAUGUAAUCAAGCUAUUAAGGAGUGAUAGUUCUCUGUUGAUGGUUGGGGCAGUUGAAAAUCUUAUUUCAAGCGAUGCUGUUGACAUGGAUGAAUUGAUAGAACAAGUAUCACGACUUUGUGUUACAUUAUCUAAAGAAGUUUCUUGUGCUAUUGGGCAUUCAACCUUAAGGUCAAAAAAAUUGUUUUCUGGAGCAUCUGUUGAGGGAAGGUACCCUGCAGCUGAUGUGCAGCUUCCUUCUACUGGGAUGGAUGUAAAAAUUUUCGAUUCCUUAAAAUCAGAAAAAAAAAUGAAUGAAAGUAAUCUGAUUGUUAUUUCCGAUGAUGAGAAGGAGAAACAUAUUGCAUCUAGUAAGUCAGGUCAUCAAAUGUUGCAUGCCCAGGUGGAAUUUCCUUCUACUGAUGAGCAAGCUUCAGAAACUUACCAUGCCAAGAAGGUUGUCCAUAGCACUGGUACUGAUACUUCAGCGGAUCUACUUGAGUCUCCCAUGAAAAAAGAUUCCCUUGUUUCUCAGACACAGAAACCUGAGAAAUCAAGAGUCAAGCCACCGCAUUGUCCCAAACCAAAAGGCCCUGACAGUGAGAGGAAAGAAAUAAGCUCCAACUCCAGAAGUAGUGUUAUUUCAUCUCAGAGUAAAGUUGAUCAGGAGAACAAGUUUGAUGAAUCUGUUAAAUUAAACAGUAUUAAUCAAGGUUGCAAAAAAAUAAAUUUUGGAACCAAAGAUACAAUUUUGAGGGAGGUAGUUGCUGCAGAUGAUCCGUUGGAGGCUGCUUUCAGAACUGUAACUGUACAGCCAUCACUUCUUGCUAAGUCUGGUCCUGUUGCUCCUAAAAGGCAAGUCAUUCAACUUAGAUCACCUUUUGAAAAUAGAUCUAGCCUACACAGGCCGGAAGCUCAGGUUAAAAGGUUCAAGCCUCCAAGACUGGAUGACUGGUACAGGCCAAUACUAGAAGUAGAUUUCUUUGUAACGGUGAGAUUAGCAUCUGCAAAAGAUGAUGAGAGUCACACCGUUAGCAAAUUAAAGGAGGUCCCUGUGUCAUUCCACUCACCUGAACAGUAUGUAAACAUUUUUCGGCCGUUAGUUUUGGAGGAAUUUAAAGCACAACUGUAUAGUUCCUUUCUGGAGAUGUCUUCAUGGGAGGAGAUGUACUGUGGCAGUAUAUCCGUGCUGUCAGUUGAGAGGGUUGAUGAUUUCCAUCUUGUUCGAUUUGUCUAUGAUAUUGAUGAUUCUACAGCAUCUAAAAGUUUGUCAGAGAAUGACCUUGUUUUACUCACUAAAGAUCUUCCAAAAAGUACCUCCCAUGAUGUUCAUAUGGUUGGAAAGGUGGAAAGACGUGAGAGAGACAAUAAAAGGAAGUCAAGUAUGCUGCUGAUUCGGUUUUAUCUUCAGAAUGGCUCAAUACGUUUGAAUCAAGCUAGGAGGCAGCUUCUUGAACGUAGUAAAUGGCAUGCCAGUCGUAUCAUGAGCAUUACACCCCAGAUCCGAGAAUUUCAGGCACUGUCAUCUAUAAAGGAUAUCCCCUUGCUUCCUGCCAUUUUAAACCCUGUCAGUGAUCCUACCAUCUCGUAUAAACCGACACUAGAUUUCAGUAAGCUAUCCCAGCCCCUGCAGCAAUUUCUGAGGUCAUCCUUCAAUGAUAGCCAACUGCAAGCCUUGAAUGUUGCUGUUGGAUCACAGAAGAUAAAGAAAGAUUUUGAAUUGUCUCUUAUUCAGGGUCCUCCAGGGACUGGAAAGACCCGAACUAUUGUGGCCAUGGUUGGUGUUUUGCUAGCUUCCUUUCAACGGAGAACAAAUGAAUCAGAGAAUUCUCAGAGUGGUUAUUUGAGACAAUGCUAUAAUUCUUCCACCAAUUCAAAUGCACGAGUAAGUCAGGCCACUGCCAUUGCAAGAGCUUGGCAGGAUGCUGCCCUGGCUAGACAAUUAAAUGAAGAUGUUGAAAGGUCAAAAAAGUCAAUAGAAAGUUCUACAAGAGGAAGGGUGUUAAUUUGUGCUCAGUCAAAUGCUGCAGUUGAUGAGCUGGUGUCAAGAAUAUCUAGUGAAGGUCUAUAUGGGAGAGAUGGGAAGAGGUACAAACCGUAUCUUGUACGGGUUGGGAAUGCAAAAACAGUUCAUCCAAAUUCACUACCUUUCUAUAUUGAUACACUUGUUGAUCAUCGGUUGGCAGAAGAGAAAAUGCAUACAAAUGAUGCUAGAAAUGAUUUAAGUAUGGAGGCAUCUUCUACAGUACUGCGUUCUAAUCUAGAGAAGGUAGUCGAAAACAUCAGAUUCUGCGAAACCAAGCGUGCAAACAUAAGGGAUGGCAAUUCAAGCAUAAAGAAAACAUCAAAAGGAUCUAAUAAGGAAAUGGAUGUAAAAGAAAUGGCUAGUCCGGAAUUAGAGGCUAAGCUACAACGAUUGUAUGAGCAAAAGAAACAAAUUUAUAAAGAUCUUAGUGCUGCUCAGGCACAAGAGAAGAAGACUAAUGAGGAAACCAAAGCAUUAAGACAUAAACUGCGGAAGUCUAUUUUAAAGGAAGCUGAAAUAAUCGUUACAACAUUAAGUGGUUGUGGUGGAGAUCUCUAUGGUGUAUGUGCUGAAACCAUAUCAAGUUUUAAGUUUGGCAAUCCAUCUGAACAUACUCUUUUUGAUGCUGUUGUGAUUGAUGAAGCUGCACAAGCUUUGGAGCCAGCUACUUUGAUUCCUCUUCAGCUUUUGAAGUCAAGAGGGACAAAAUGUAUCAUGGUUGGUGAUCCAAAGCAGCUUCCUGCAACAGUUCUCUCUAAUGUUGCGAGCAAAUAUAUGUAUGAAUGCAGCAUGUUUGAGCGUUUACAAAGAGCUGGUCAUCCUGUUGUUAUGCUUACUGAACAGUAUAGGAUGCAUCCAGAGAUAUGUCGAUUUCCUUCUUUGCACUUUUAUGACAAGAAGUUGCUGAAUGGUGAUACAGUCUUGAGCAAAUCAGUGUCAUUUCAUGGAGCUGAAGGCCUUGGCCCAUAUGUGUUUUAUGAUGUUGUUGAUGGUCUGGAGCUUCGUGAAAAGAAUUCUGGUGCAUUAUCUCUUUAUAAUGAAUGCGAGGCUGAUGCAGCAGUCGAGCUGCUUAAAUUUUUCAGGAAAAGGUAUCCGUCGGAGUUUGUUGUUUGCAAGAUUGGUAUAAUAACUCCAUACAAGUGUCAGCUUUCACUUUUGCGAUCUCGCUUUUCUAGUGUGUUUGGUUCUUCUGUUAUUACUGAUAUAGAGUUCAACACAGUGGAUGGUUUUCAAGGCCGGGAGGUGGAUAUAUUAGUGUUUUCCACUGUUAGAGCAGCAAGUUCUUCUCAAGGCAUAAGUUCAAGCAGUAGUAUUGGGUUUGUCGCUGAUGAGAGACGGAUGAAUGUUGCUUUGACAAGAGCUAAGCUUUCUCUUUGGAUUUUGGGAAACACGAGGACUUUGCAGACAGACCGUAAUUGGUCUGCUCUUGUGAAGGAUGCUAAGCAGAGAAAUUUGGUACUAUCAAUUAAAAGGCCUUACAAUAUCUCUUUUAGAACAAACACUAGGAAGACUCUUGUUCCAGAAGGUUCUGAUAAUCAACUGAGUCAGGUGAAGCAUGUUGAAAAGGUCAGAGGUGAUGGCCAACUUGCCAAACAGAAUGAGUGUCAGGAAAAGCUGAAGUUUGAAGGGAAGAGAAAGCAUAUCGACAGUGUGACUGACUGUAACUGGUCUUCUGGUGGAGGUGACAUCGACUCUUUGAAGAGUAAAGAUAAACAUUGUAGCAAAAGAAAAGCAAAAUAUGAUUGUGAGCCUCCCCCUGGAAGGACUAUUUUGUCUGCAUCUGCAAAUGAUGAUAGAAGACGAUUGCAGAAAGUGAAGUCCAGGGGUCCAGAGAAACUUCUUAUCUCUAGUGGAAGCCAAGAAAAAGAGGGUAGUGAAGUAGAAGUCAAAAUGGGGGAAAACCAGAGAAGCAACAAUGACAAUGGUGGACAAGAAGUGGGUCGUAGUGGCAAAAAUAAGAUGUCAAAAGAGAGUAAGAAAUCUUCUGUGCAGGAGCAAAGUUCAAUUGUUUCUACUCCCCAACCUGAUGGCAACAAUGAAGAGAGAGAAUCAAAUAAAGGUGGUAGAGAUCCUAAGGAGGUUGCCACUUCUCAGAAUUUAUUUCUGAAACGGAAACAGCAACGGGAAGCUGUUGAUGCUAUUCUUUUCUCUGGUCUAAUUCCUUCAAAAAAGUCCGAACAAUCAUCCAAAAAGUUGCACCAAGAAAGGUCAAUUGUCCCACCUUCAGUUGCAAGCGGCAGCUUCAAACCACCAAAGAAAAGGAAAGGUUAACCACUGCUUCACUGCCCAAUGCAACUCCUGAUUUAUGUUUUAGCUGGUUGUGGUUACACUAGUCCACCAAAUUCCUAAAACAAGGGCACCACGCCAUCAGAUUCAUCAAGGGCUCAGUUCAGGAGAUAUUCUUUGAGCUUAUAGCCUUAUAGGGCCUACACAUAUGGAGGAAAGCAUACUACUUUUAUGAAGCAACAACUUCAAUUGACUGCUGCCGUCUUUCUUAUAUAAACAGGUAGAAAAGGAAGAAAGUGGCUACAUUCUAUGCUUUUCCUAUAAUAAUUAUUUGAUCUAAAACUGGGUUCUAGCUUCCGUGAAUUUAAAUGGAGCUUGUGUUUAUCAGCAUCUUUCUAAGUUGUAAAGAAGCAAGAAAGUUGCUGAGUUUGCAGCCAUUGUGGGAAUACGGGGUGAAAUUAACAGGCAUUCCUCUCGUCUUUUGGGAAGAAUACUUGAUAAGUGUCUUGGUUUCUGUAGUUGAUGGAUAGCUCACAAAUCAUAGUUGAAACUCUCCAAAACAGAUCUUAAAAAAGAAAAAAAAAAGGUUUUCGUGUUCCCAGUAGCUUUUAUAGCUUAAAGAUUAAAUUUUGGCGACCCACCUUUUGCUUGAUAUUUUUCAUCUUGUUUCUGGUUGAAGGUGUUAAUAUGAAUGAGGCUUCUUUGUAAAGAAAUUUUUUGUAAUAUGUAAUGUUAGAAUUCUUUAAAAGGGCUUUCGACAAAUUGAUCAUGUACAAAUAGUAAACUUGGUUUCUAACAUGGCAUGUAUAAACAAAAGAAAAAUGGCCUUGAAAAUUUGCACGUAAUAAUAUAUCUGUAUUGUUGUAGUCUA